GGAAGACGACUUGAAGCAAAUAGCUGGGCCAGGAUGGUUACGUACAGCAAAGGACAAAAGCAAAUGGAAAUCCUUAGAGGAGGCCUUUGUCGAAAGACAAGCUGUUAAGAGGAGAGAUAAGCCGAAUGCCGAGAUAUGUUUUAGUAUAAGUUAAUUUUAUAGUUUUCUUACCUCUAUUAUUAUCAUUUUAUGUUUAGUUAAAUAAGUUAAACUCUAACAGCAAUAAAGGCUUAUUCAUUUAUUUAUUUAAUUUGGAUUAAAAUAUACGUAAACAUUAACUGUCUUCAUUAAAAUGAGUUAUUGUAGCUAUACUUAUAUAUCGUUGAUACCUUCGAGGCGUGUCUUACCAAUCUAUACUAAUAUUAUAAAGAUGAAGAGUUUGUCUGUUUGAACGCGCUAAUCUCAGAAACUACUCGUCCGAUUUGAAAAAUUAUUUCAGUGUUAGAUAGCUCAUUUAUCGAAUUUAUGCUAUAUAACGUCACGGUAAGACCAAUACAAGCGGAGCACCAAUAAAGAAUGUUUCAAAAUCGGGGCUAUAUUUACCUCUUGAGAGCUUCCGCUUCGUGCGCUGCAGAAACGGUUAAAGUUUCGCUAAAAUAAUGUAUGACAGAAUUGUUCCCCUUUAAAAGAUCUAAAAAAAAGUCCGCGACAGCAUAUGUCUAUAUGUUAAGGUUGGCUCACUAUAACGUUUUUUAUACUAACCAAAUUUGUUCUAAAAUAAAGCAUUAUUUGUGAACUAUUCCACGCGGACGAAGUCGCGGGCAAAAGCUAGUAUUAUUAUACGUUGUUUCGUUAAAUGGUUCGCAAAAGGGUAAGAACUGUAGAACUUUUGAAAGGCGAAAGCUGAAUAUAUACAGAUAAAACUUAAAAUAAACCUUUUAGCAGGACAUUUAUUUAUUGUAUUACCAGAAAACAUUCAAACCAGCCCAAAACAUCUGUCAAAUCAAGUGAUAAAUCGCUUUACACAAUACGUGCAUGCUUAAUAGUAUGAAAUGAAUAUUUCCAGUUGGAGAAACUCGGGGAUUUCAGUAGCCGCCGAUCGCUAAAAGCGACAAAACAAGAGAUCAUGACGCAGCAAGAAUGCAGACAGAUCACAGGGUACAAUGUCGGAGGAGGAACGCUGUGCUGUGUACCUAUUAUUGGAAAUAAUCAUAAGGAUGACGCCGGCAAUGGCUUAGUGACCAGCCAACCACAGAUACUAGUCGGUGUGUUGUCAUAUAUCGCGGACGGUUACAGCGUAUACACUGGCGUUGCUGUGCACCGGGAUUGGAUCAUAAAGGCGUGCAAGAGAUUAUACCGCGCAGAUUGUUUUGAAAAUAAAAAUCAUCACGAAUAAAAC
RNA transcript from Bombyx mori (domestic silkworm), 1339 nucleotides. RefSeq lists it as uncharacterized. The transcript has 2 exons. The record is from RefSeq and is a predicted model, not a curated record. Lineage: Eukaryota; Metazoa; Arthropoda; Insecta; Lepidoptera; Bombycidae.